GGCCCCUUGGUCAAGCGGCUAAGACGGCGCCCUCUCACGGCGCAAUCGUGGGUUCGAUUCCCGCAGGGGUCACCA
RNAcentral lists this transfer RNA (75 nucleotides) under Anaerofilum hominis. Its description in RNAcentral is "tRNA-Glu". It matches the Rfam family "tRNA". Rfam says of the family: Transfer RNA (tRNA) molecules are approximately 80 nucleotides in length. Lineage: Bacteria; Bacillati; Bacillota; Clostridia; Eubacteriales; Oscillospiraceae. The record is from RNAcentral.